RNAcentral lists this long non-coding RNA (1300 nucleotides) under Brassica napus (rape). Its description in RNAcentral is "long non-coding RNA (BNAP_LNC026111)". Lineage: Eukaryota; Viridiplantae; Streptophyta; Magnoliopsida; Brassicales; Brassicaceae. The record is from RNAcentral.
AUCCAGUUUGAGAAUGGUGGUAGUUCAAGCACCAUCAUCGAAAACCCGAAUCCGGAUCCAGCUCCGAGCCCGGUUCAUUCCCAGACCCAGAAUCCGAAAUUCAGCAACAAUUUCUCCCGCGAAUUAAAUUUCUCCACGUCGAGCACCACCUUGGUGAAACCAAGACCCGGCGAGAUAUUGAGCUUCGGCGAUGAGGGUAAACGGAGCUCCGUGAACCCGGAUCCGAGUUCUUAUUCGGGUCAGACUCAGUUCGAGAAUAAGAGAAAGAAGUCCAUAGGUAUGAGCGAUGACAAGGUUCUAACUUUCGGAACCGGCGGAGGAGAAUCCGAUCACUCCGAUCUAGAAGCCUCCGUCGUGAAAGAGAUACCGGAGAAACGUCCCAAGAAACGUGGAAGAAAACCGGCCAACGGUAGAGAAGAGCCGCUUAACCACGUCGAAGCAGAGAGACAGAGACGCGAGAAACUAAACCAGCGAUUCUACGCGUUACGUGCGGUUGUACCAAACGUCUCCAAAAUGGAUAAAGCUUCUUUGCUCGGUGACGCCAUUGCUUACAUCAACGAGCUCAAGUCGGGGUAAGGCGUUCUCGACGGGUAACGCAGUUUGGGUUUAUGGGUCGGAUCAGUUAACCGGGUCGGGUUGUGAGCGGGCGAAGCAAGGAGGAGUGUUUGGGAUGCAGACCAUCGCGUGUAUUCCUUCGGCGAACGGGGUUGUUGAACUCGGGUCGACGGAGCAGAUCCGACAGAGCUCGGAUCUUAUGAACAAGGUGCGAGUACUUUUCAAUUUCAACGGUGGCGCUGGAGACUUAUCGGGUCUUAACUGGAAUCUUGACCCGGAUCAAGGCGAGAACGAUCCGACUAUGUGGAUUAAUGACCCGAUUGGAGUACCCGAGCAGGGUAACGGAGCUCCGAGCUCUAGCUCCCAGCUUUUUGCCAAGUCGAUCCAGUUUGAGAAUGGUGGUAGUUCAAGCACCAUCAUCGAAAACCCGAAUCCGGAUCCAGCUCCGAGCCCGGUUCAUUCCCAGACCCAGAAUCCGAAAUUCAGCAACAAUUUCUCCCGCGAAUUAAAUUUCUCCACGUCGAGCACCACCUUGGUGAAACCAAGACCCGGCGAGAUAUUGAGCUUCGGCGAUGAGGGUAAACGGAGCUCCGUGAACCCGGAUCCGAGUUCUUAUUCGGGUCAGACUCAGUUCGAGAAUAAGAGAAAGAAGUCCAUAGAUGACAAGGUUCUAACUUUCGGAACCGGCGGAGGAGAAUCCGAUCACUCCGAUCUAGAAGCCUCCGUCGUGAAAGAGAUACCGGAG